GUAUCCAUGGUGUGGGCAUUGUAGUAAAAGUGAUUUGAAGCGCUCCCAUACUUCAUGAAAGGAUUUAGUAUCCUUUUGAUAAAAGUUAGAAAUUUCAGCCCUUAAUUC
Molecule: small nucleolar RNA, 108 nt
Filed under: Ricinus communis (castor bean)
Lineage: Eukaryota; Viridiplantae; Streptophyta; Magnoliopsida; Malpighiales; Euphorbiaceae
Description: Plant small nucleolar RNA R71
Rfam family: Plant small nucleolar RNA R71
About the family: R71 is a member of the C/D box family of snoRNAs containing the C (UGAUGA) and D (CUGA) box motifs. Multiple nearly identical copies of this snoRNA have been identified in Arabidopsis, and it is thought to function as a 2'-O-ribose methylation guide for 18S ribosomal RNA.
Source: Rfam by way of RNAcentral